GACGAACGCUGGCGGCGUGCCUAACACAUGCAAGUCGUGCGAGAAAGUUCCUUCGGGAGCGAGUAAAGCGGCGCACGGGUGAGUAGCACGUAGGUAACCUGCCCCCCCAGUCUGGAACAACUAGAGGAAACUCUAGCUAAUGCCGGAUGAGACCACGAUCCCCUUCGGGGGUUGCGGCCAAAGAUGGCCUCUACUUGUAAGCUAUCGCUGAGGGAUGGGCCUGCGGGCCAUUAGCUUGUUGGUGAGGUAACGGCUCACCAAGGCUGUGAUGGCUAGCUGGUCUGAGAGGAUGACCAGCCACACUGGGACUGAGACACGGCCCAGACUCCUACGGGAGGCAGCAGUGGGGAAUAUUGCGCAAUGGGCGAAAGCCUGACGCAGCGACGCCGCGUGGGUGAUGAA
Molecule: ribosomal RNA, 402 nt
Filed under: uncultured bacterium
Lineage: Bacteria
Description: bacterial SSU rRNA
Rfam family: Bacterial small subunit ribosomal RNA
Source: RNAcentral